RNA transcript from Rosa rugosa (rugosa rose), 1636 nucleotides. RefSeq lists it as uncharacterized. The record is from RefSeq and is a predicted model, not a curated record. The transcript has 6 exons. Lineage: Eukaryota; Viridiplantae; Streptophyta; Magnoliopsida; Rosales; Rosaceae.
AUAACUUUACAAAAUUUAAUGAAUAUACAUAAUUGCUGUGCUUAAAUGAUAGGUUUGAUUUAGUCAAUUGAACUGUGGUAAAUGGGACUAUGGUUUGCAGCAAGGUAUUAUAGUACUGAUCUUAUUAUUAUCAUUUGAGAAAAAAGGGCUCCUGGAACACCCACAAAAGGGCAUAUUAUAAAAGAACAACCAAUUGAUGCAUCUCUACUUUCUCAGGGAGUUGAAACUUCUAGUAGGAUGACAGUAGAGGAACAGACCAAAUUCUCAUGCACACCAUCAACAUCAAGGCAUUCACCAUUUAAUAAUAGUUAUGGAGGUAACACUUCUGCUGCUGAACAUAAUCAUUUAGAUGAUAGAGAGAGAGACCACCUGAAUAAGUUUACUAGUGUCCACUCAUAUUCUCCUGCUCUACAUGCUACUUGGAAGGGAGGCUUCAUCAUUCUCGAUUCAGAAACACCUGCUCAAUUCAUUGGUGGAUUCCUAGCACAACCUCCCUGUACUGUACAUCAAAAAGCCUAUGAGUUUUCACGAAAUAUGCCUCCCUGUCUUACUGGCCACUUUGCUUCCUAGAUUGCUUCUUUGGGUUGAUCCCUUCCGAGAGGAAUGUCCUGAUCUUCAAGAUGUUGGACUUUACUUUUUCCUUGAUGAUAACAUUGCCAGCUGAUUUGUAGAUCAAGAGAGACCUAUGCUUUGCUGUUGGAGGUCAUGGAUACCCAAAAUUCAGUGAUGAGGAUUUACUUUGAUGGAGUGGAUGCUGUGGAUUUGUUGAUAUUUACAUCUAAACAGCUGCAUUUAGACUCGCUGAAUACGGUGACAAGUCCAAGUACAGAAAACUUCUUAUGGGGAAUUUUUCGUGACAAGAAUCAUUGUCCAGCUGACAUGUAUGACAAUGGAACUACUGUUGAUAUGGAAGUUGACAUGGCUGGUGGAAAGAUGGUUGGAACCGUUGAUGUGGUCGUUCCAAAAGAUUCAUCCACCCCUUGUAGAAGGCCUGAGCCUAUCAUGAAAGCAGUGCAGCAACUUUUGACUAUUAAGAAGGAGGAGCAUUCUUCAUACCUGACCAGAUUGAGGGUUCUAGAUUCUACUAUUAAACAAUUGUUGGCAUUUAACUCAGAGGAGCCUAUCAUGAAGGAUGAGCAUUCUGCAUCAACGGAUGCUUAUCUUCCACCUUGAUCCUUUUAUCCGAAAUGAAGACGGCGUGUAGCAUGCAAGUGAAGUUGGAGAAAGAUGAGGAUGAAACCUGCCUUAAAUUAAAACGGACAAGAAAACACUCCCAUGUUUGCCAUGCUUUCCUGAGCCUAGCCCUCAAAGUGUUGCGGGCUCACCUGAUGAAAUGGUAGGGACAACUUCAACUGUAGAUGAGAUUACCAUACUUAGGAUGCUUUGCAGCAGAGAUAACCACACCAUAAUAUAGCUAAAAAAAAUACAGAGACACCGUUCAACCCCAUCACUUCCAAAGGUAUACAAAGUUUCCGCAGAGUUUUGUUCACAAGAAACAGAGUUAUGAGUUAAGAGUAAGAGCUAGUCUGCUAUAGUUGUGAGAUGUUUAGUUAUAGUGGUAUCACUGGAGUGAGAGUUGUGUAUGGAACUCAUGUUGCUGGUAUUAUAUGGAUCUUUUAUGUUGGGUCGAAAAUCA